This is a long non-coding RNA of Oreochromis aureus, 1403 nucleotides long. The record is from Ensembl. NCBI's taxonomy places the organism in Eukaryota, Metazoa, Chordata, Actinopteri, Cichliformes, Cichlidae.
ACCUAGAGUCUUAUCCAAUAAGACAACAACAUAAUUUAAGGAGAGCGCAAUUGACCGCCAGAUUCUGGAAGACUGUUUAGCCACAUGCGACCUUUGCCACUGAGUCAGGCAUACUGAGAAGAGUCCUAUGGGGAGUCCUAUGGUCCUAAAGACUGUCUUGGCUGACGGAACCUGUCGAAGGCUCACUCUCUAAUGGAGCGCCCGAAUCAACUGAGGAUCUCAUCGUUGAAGUCAAGAGACAGUGUGGUCUUCAGGGCAGUUUCAGACUUCAGUUUAUGGAUUCCUUGUUUGGGAAUGAGUUUCUUAACCUUACCUCGGUUUCAGAAGUAGCAGACAAAGGGACUCUUAAAGCUAUUGACAUGGACAUAAAAAGAGUAACAGAGUUGGUGAAACUCAAGAUGGAAGAGACUUUUUCAUACAGAAGACAUGAAGUUGUUCGUGAUGCACCAAUGGUGGAGGCUGCCUGCUCUAUUUGAUUUCCAUGAGAUCAACGCUGAGUUUAAGAGAAUUGCCACCAUCCCCCUCAAAGUUCCUGGCUCAGCUGGAUUUCCACUUGGACAACCUGGUGAAGUUGGUCAACAGAAGAGGAGAGCUUGGACUAAUACUGGAAAGAAUUGUGGCACAAAUGGAUAAUUGUGAAGAUGUUGAUGCUGGACGUGAGUGUGUCAAGGGAGUGUGUAUCUACAUGGGUGAAGACCCUGGCAUGCUUAUCCGGGAGUAUGUGGUAUGUACUUGUCUUUUUUCUUUUCUUUUUUUCGGACUUUCCACAGUGUGUCAUAUUACUUACUUGGCAUGAAAUGACUAACAUGGCUUCUUUUUUACAGGGCAUGGAAGAACGUGCCAUCAAUGAGACUGUUGAAGACACCACUGUUCGAAUUUAUCUUAAAGAGCAAGCUUCAGCAGAAGAACAAGAGUUGUCCUUGCAGGCAUCAGGGUGGCGAAGAAUUUGGAUAAUGUAGCAUUUGCUGUGAUAAUGCUAUUUGGACUCAUGUAUGCAUUAAACCUUGCCUACCCUGCUGACCUCCGCUACACCUUUGACGUUUUCCAGAAGGUUUUCAUGGAACUGGAUGGAGCUAAACUCUCUAAAGUUCUUGCUUUUAAAAACCAUCUGUUUCAUUGAGAAGUCAAAGACAGCACUUCUGCAAUUCUUUGCAGUUUUUCAUUUUGUGUUCAGUAACGUUAUACUGCUUAUGUUUUUAUUGCUUUCCCCUCAUGUGACUGCAAUGCAGGAAGAUUUUUCCUUUUGGUAUCAUGUUGUAAGAAAUUUUUACUGACGAUUUUUAGCAAUAUGUUCUGAGUCAACCUUAAUGUCCUGCUUACAUGUUUAAAAGGAAGAUUAAGAUUCAUGUAGGUGUUUGGUAUUAGUUAUGUAACAAUAUCAUUUAAGGCUCAACUUAGUUGAA